GUCUAAGGCCAUACCAUUCUGAACGUGCUUGAUCUCAUCUGAUCUCAGAAGCUAAGCAGGGUUGGGCCUGGUUAGUAGUUGGAUGGGAAACCAAUGAGGAUGAAGAGUAGGAUGGGUGGACG
RNAcentral lists this ribosomal RNA (122 nucleotides) under Castor canadensis (American beaver). The record is from RNAcentral. Lineage: Eukaryota; Metazoa; Chordata; Mammalia; Rodentia; Castoridae.